Molecule: ribosomal RNA, 246 nt
Filed under: uncultured bacterium
Lineage: Bacteria
Description: partial small subunit ribosomal RNA
Rfam family: Bacterial small subunit ribosomal RNA
Source: RNAcentral
AGAAUCAACGCUGGCGGCGUGCCUAACACACGCAAGUCGAACGAGAAAGUGGAGCAACCCAUGAGUAAAGUGGCGCACGGGUGAGUAACACGUGACUAACCUACCCUUGAGUGGGGAAUAACUUCGGGAAAACCGAGGCUAAUACCGCAUAACACCUACGGGUCAAAGGAGCAAUUCGCUUAAGGAGGGGGUCGCGGCAGAUUAGUUAGUUGGCAGGGUAAUGGCCUACCAAGACGGUGAUCUGUA